Molecule: ribosomal RNA, 433 nt
Filed under: uncultured bacterium
Lineage: Bacteria
Description: partial 16S ribosomal RNA
Rfam family: Bacterial small subunit ribosomal RNA
Source: RNAcentral
AACGAACGCUGGCGGCAUGCCUAACACAUGCAAGUCGAACGAGACCUUCGGGUCUUGUGGCGCACGGGUGCGUAACGCGUGGGAACCUGCCCUUAGGUUCGGAAUAACUCCCCGAAAGGGGUGCUAAUACCGGAUAAUGUCUUCGGACCAAAGAUUUAUCGCCUUUGGAUGGGCCCGCGUUGGAUUAGCUAGUUGGUAGGGUAAAAGCCUACCAAGGCGACGAUCCAUAGCUGGUCUGAGAGGAGGAUCAGCCACACUGGGACUGAGACACGGCCCAGAAUCCUACGGGAAGGAGCAGUGGGGAAUAUUGGACAAUGGGCGAAAGCCUGAUCCAGCAAUGCCGCGUGAGUGAUGAAGGCCUUAGGGUUGUAAAGCUCUUUUACCCGGGAUGAUAAUGACAGUACCGGGAGAAUAAGCUCCGGCUAACUCCGUG